Molecule: unclassified non-coding RNA, 309 nt
Filed under: plant metagenome
Description: partial contains 5.8S ribosomal RNA, internal transcribed spacer 2, and large subunit ribosomal RNA
Rfam family: 5.8S ribosomal RNA (bases 1-105)
Source: RNAcentral
GAAAUGCGAUAAGUAGUGUGAAUUGCAGAAUUCAGUGAAUCAUCGAAUCUUUGAACGCACAUUGCGCCCCUUGGUAUUCCAUGGGGCAUGCCUGUUCGAGCGUCAUUUGUACCCUCAAGCUCUGCUUGGUGUUGGGUGUUUGUCCCGUCUCCGCGCGUGGACUCGCCCCAAAGUGAUUGGCAGCCGGCGUACUGGUCCCGGAGCGCAGCACAUGUCGCGCAAACGAGUGCCUUGGUACGGCGGCGUCCAUAAGCCCCUCUCUCACGCUCUUGACCUCGGAUCAGGUAGGGAUACCCGCUGAACUGACGC